GGAUUGUGGCUCAGUGGUAGAGUGCUUGCCUAGCAUGUGCAAGGCCCUGGGUUCGAUCCUCAGUACCA
This 68-nucleotide transfer RNA is filed under the name Marmota monax (woodchuck). RNAcentral describes it as "tRNA.Ala". Lineage: Eukaryota; Metazoa; Chordata; Mammalia; Rodentia; Sciuridae. The record is from RNAcentral.